This 426-nucleotide long non-coding RNA is filed under the name Homo sapiens (human). RNAcentral's name for it is "HSALNT0128209". Lineage: Eukaryota; Metazoa; Chordata; Mammalia; Primates; Hominidae. The record is from RNAcentral.
AACUGUCUCAGUCCUGUCCUGCAGGAAGAAAUGCUUCCUCUCUUCUUGCUUCUCCAGUGUUUCAGCACGAAGAUUCUCCUUUUGUUCCCUCUCAACAGGAGUAGAUAGAAUGCAACACGGUGUUAAUGAAUGAGAGGCAUCAUGAUAAGAGAUAAAAGGAUGGACUCUAAAUAAGGAAGUUAAGUUUUAUGUGCCUUCUUGUGAUGAAGAUGGAUCCUCACACUUAUACUGUGCUUUAAGAAAGAUGAAAUAAAGACCAAAUCUCUGGAUAUAUGGUGAACAAGAGCUGUGAGAAGACUCUGAGGCCUUAGGAAAUGGGAAAGCUACCGGUCAAAAGGAUCCUGGCCCCUGAAUAACUGCACAGCUCUUUGCUGGUCUGCACUGGGAUGCGAUGUAACUGAUAAAUAAACAUUUCUUAUGUUAAAC